RNAcentral lists this ribosomal RNA (292 nucleotides) under uncultured bacterium. RNAcentral's name for it is "partial 16S ribosomal RNA". It matches the Rfam family "Bacterial small subunit ribosomal RNA", at positions 505 to 796 of the family's 1533-position model. The record is from RNAcentral.
GUGUCAGCAGCCGCGGUAAUACGUAGGGUGCAAGCGUUAAUCGGAAUUACUGGGCGUAAAGCGUACGCAGGCGGCUAUGCAAGACAGGUGUGAAAUCCCCGGGCUCAACCUGGGAACUGCACUUGUGACUGCAUGGCUAGAGUCCGUAAGAGGGGGGUGGAAUUCCACGUGUAGCAGUGAAAUGCGUAGAGAUGUGGAGGAACACCGAUGGCGAAGGCAGCCCCCUGGGAUGAGACUGACGCUCAUGUACGAAAGCGUGGGGAGCAAACAGGAUUAGAAACCCGAGUAGUCC